Salvia miltiorrhiza (redroot sage) is the source of this 892-nucleotide long non-coding RNA. RefSeq lists it as uncharacterized. Lineage: Eukaryota; Viridiplantae; Streptophyta; Magnoliopsida; Lamiales; Lamiaceae. The record is from RefSeq and is a predicted model, not a curated record. The transcript has 3 exons.
AAUGCGUGUUCUAGCUACUCUCUCACUCAUCUCAUCAAACAUUAUCUUUCUCCCUCUCUCUCUAUUUUUCACGCACAACACACAUUACAUGAAACGACGUCGUGAAGAUACAAUCAUCAACAAUAUUUGAAGAAUCUCACAUGCACUAUAUAAACCUUCAUCACUCUAGACAGAUUGGCAUCAGUGUCGUUUAGAAGCUCUGGAAGAUUCUUCUCCGGCCGCCGCCGGCGUCGACGAUCUGGAGGUGAACCGCGUCGGAGAGGAGAUCGGUGAGCUGUUCCGGUGGCUUUCUGGGAUAUGAAAUCCUUGUUCGCAACACAAGAAUAAUCGCCUAGCUCGUCGCCGCCGAUCUCUAAGAGUGCUCAUCCAUAACACCUUCUCCAAAAAUCUCCUCCACCGCCGCGGCGGCAGCUGCCAAAAGAUGUCCGGAUCGGAAGAGAUCGGCAACAUCAAUCAAUCAUUCUGGGCACUUCUCACACAAGAAUAACAGUAAGAAAAGAAUAAUUGGUUGGUUUGUCGGAUUUUCCCUCACAAACAUAUAUCUCUUCCACACAUCAACAGAGAAAGCAUGAUUUCUUAUAAAGGAAAAUCAAUAAAAUUUCUUCUUUUUGUUUUAGUUUGUAUCUCUGUUUCAGGAGAUCAUGAUCCAAAAGUCAAAUGCAGUCCCAAAGAGCGAGAAGCUCUUCAGAGAUUCAAGAAUGAGCUCAUGGAUGAGGAUUCCAUUCUCUCUUCUUGGACAAGUGAUGAAUGCUGUCAUUGGUUUGGUGUUGUGUGUGGCAACACCACUGGGCAGUCUGGGCAUAUAAUCAAACUCGAACUUAAUGCUUGUCUUUACAGUGGUGUAUUGAGAGGUAAUAUUAGUUCUUCCUUACACAUGUUAAAGCACCUAACG